Molecule: ribosomal RNA, 389 nt
Filed under: Picozoa sp.
Lineage: Eukaryota; Picozoa
Description: partial small subunit ribosomal RNA
Rfam family: Eukaryotic small subunit ribosomal RNA
Source: RNAcentral
AUUCCAGCUCCAAUAGCGUAUAUUAAAGUUGUUGCAGUUAAAAAGCUCGUAGUCGGAUUUUGGCAUCACGCCGAACUGUCUGCCGAUUGGUAAGUACGGUUUGGCGGGUGCUUCCUUCCGGAGGCUCGUUCCCUUCUUCAUUGAAGGGUUCGUUGGUUCCGGGUCUUUUACUUUGAGAAAAUUAGAGUGUUCAAAGCAGGCCUAUGCUCUGAAUAGGUUAGCAUGGAAUAAUAGAAUAGGACUUUGGUCUUAUUUUGUUGGUUUCUAAGGCCGAGGUAAUGAUUAAUAGGGAUAGUUGGGGGCGUUUAUAUUCCAUUGUCAGAGGUGAAAUUCUUGGAUUUAUGGAAGAUAAACUACUGCGAAAGCAUUCGCCAAGGAUGUUUUCAUUG